CUUUUUGUUUUUUCAUAUUUCCUUGUACCUUUUCAUCUUGGUGAAUCUGUCAAAUGUCUAUUUUAUUAGCUUCAUGAAAACAAGGCAUCUUACUUUUAUUGACCUUGUUCUCUAUUUUAUGAAUUUAUGCUUUCACCCUUAAUAAUUUCUCCCUUCUAUUUGCCCCCUCCCCAUUGUUCGUACUAUGUUUUUAGGUUGGAGAACUAGCUGAUUUUCACAUCAAAUAUGAGUAGUUAAGGCUAUAAACUUCCCUGAAAGCAUGUUUUAAUUGUCUCAUAGGUUUUUAUACAUAGUAUUUUCAUUAUGUUUAAACUUUAAGAUUUUAAGAUUUCCCUCAUGAUCUCUUUGAUCCAUGUAUUUAUAAAUAUGUUUUUUUUUUUUUAAUUUUCCCACUGUACAGCAAGGGGAUCAAGUUAUCCUUACAUGUAUACAUUUUUCCCCCACCCUUUGUUCUGUUGCAACAUGAGUAUCUAGACAAAGUUCUCAAUGCUAUUCAGCAGGAUCUCCUUGUAAAUCUAAGUUGUGUCUGAUAAGCCCAAGCUUCCGAUCCCUCCCACUUAGAAAUAUGUUUUAUUUACCUUCGUUACUAAUAUAUAACUUAGUUACAGUGUUUUAAGACAACAUGGAUGCUAUACCAAUUCUUAAAUUAGUAAAUAAUUUUUAAUGGAGAGUCAACUCGUAAUGGUUGCAAGUGUGCUUCAAAUGAAUUGUUUUCUGAAAAUUUUUAAAGCGAAGUGUCUGUAUUUCUAUUUGCAUUUGGUGAGGCUUCUAAGUUGUAUUGUUUAAAUCUGUAUGCUAUUGAUUUCGUCUAUGUGAUUUCUCAGUACUUCAAAAGAGAUGUUGAAUUCUCUUGUUUGGUGAUUUUAGAGUUUUUCUAUGGACUUCUAUAAAUUAAUGCACUGUAUAUUUUUGAGACUAUUUUUAUGUGGAAAUGUAAUAUUAUGCAAUAUUUUCAUGACAAUGACAUCCCAUCAUCUUUGCCAUAGUUUAUUGGUUAGAAGCAAGACACAGAUCCUGCCCACAUCAAAAGUGAUAUUACAAAGUAUAAGGAUUAGGCCAGAGCUUCUAAAUUUAUCCUUAGAGUCUGACUUCCACAAUAAAUAUGUUAUCAUUAAACACCACCUGGAUAAUGUAAGUGACUUAGAACAUUUUAAUUUCAUUUAUACCCAUCCCAAUUUAUACUGGCACAUAUUUGACAAAGUGGACUUCAUAAAAUUAAACAUUUUGCUCUGAAAAAGGCACUGCUACUAGAAAGACAAGCACAGGCUUGGAGAAUCCACUCCAAACAAUAUAUAUGAUAAAGUAGUUCCUGUCAUGGCUCAGCAGAAAAGAAUGACUAGUAUCCAUGAGGACACAGGUUUGAUGCCUGGCCUUGCUCAGUGAGUUAAGGAUCUGGCAUUACCGUGAUCCGCGGUGUAGGUCACAGACACAGCUCAGAUCUGGUGUUGCUGUGGCUGUGGUGUAGGCCAGCAGCUACAGCUUCAAUUCAGUCUCUAGCCUAGGAACCUCCAGAUGCUGUAGGUGCAGCCCUAAAAAGACUAUAUAUAUAGAAAUCAAGGAACUCCCUGGUGGCAUAGCACUUGGGAUUCAAUGUUGUCACUGCUAUGCUUGGGCUUGAUCCCUGGUCCAGGAUCUAAUGUGUGUGUGUGUGUGUGUGUAUAUACAUGGGGGGAGAUCUAAACAGUAAGAAAAAAAAGAAUCACCCGCUAAAAGGGGGGGGGGGAAUAUUCAAACAGAAGCUUCACAAAAUAAGACAUUCAGAUGACAAAUAAGUGUAUGAAAAGAUGCUCAAACUCAUAUACCAUUAGCGCAUUGCAAAUUAAAACCACAAUGAUAUACCACUACAUAUUCAAUGACUAAAAUUAAAAAAAUACAGUAAUGCCAAGUGCUGGUUAAGAUGUGGAAGAAGUGGAACAACCAGAACUCAAUACUUAUGGUGGGAAUGCAAAAUGAUAUAGAAACUUUGGAGAAGUUUUAGCCUUCAUUUUCACUCUUAGGCAUUUGCCCUAUUGAACUGAACAUUUACAUUCACACAAAACUGGCAUCUGAGAGUUUAUAGCAACUUUAUUUAUAAUGGCCUAAAAAUGGAUACAUCUCAUUUGUCUAUCAAUUAAUGAAUGGAUAAACAAACUAGUGUAUCCAUACAAUGAAGUACAAAAAUAAAAAGGAAUGAAUAUUAAUUUACCUAAAAACAAUGUAGAUGAUACUUAAAUUCAUUUUACUAAGUGAAAGAAGCCAGAUCAAAAAGGUCUACAUAUUGCAUGAUUCCAUCCAUAUGACUUUCUGUAAAAGGCAAAAACCAUAGGGAUAGAUGACAAACAAGUGGUUUCCAGGGACUGAAGAUGGGGAAAGGGAUUUACAACAAAAAGUGCAAUCAAGAGAAAUUACUAGAGAUGAAACAGUUCUGUAUGGUACUAGAAUGGAAGAACACAUGACUCUAUACUUGUCAAACUAUAGAACUAUACACUGUAAGAGUGAAUUUUAGUGUAUGUAAAUUAGAAACAAUCUCUAAAACAAAUGGAAAUUUACCUAUCAAAUGAUCAGAGAUUUAUUAAAGGAAAGAGCAUGUUUUGAUGAAUGUGUGGAGAAAUAGCACAUUCAUGCACCACUGAUGGGAAUGUAAUUUGUGUGACUAUAUUCAGUAUAAUUUAACAGUACCUUUCAGUGCCCUAAUAAUGCUCUCAUAAUUCAAACUCAGUAAUUCCAAUUCUAGGAAUUAAUUCUAAAGAAAUAGAGAUGCAUAUAAAGGUGAAUAUACAAUAUGUUCAUCAGAAUUUUAUAAGCAAAAUUGGUAACAUCCAAAAUAUCUGCAUCAUGAGAUGAUCUAAAUAAAUUUUGUUAGAUCCAUAUGAAAUAUGACACAAUAUUGUAUUUUUAAAUAAUGUUAAUGACAUGGAAGAAUGCUUAUUUUUAAAUGAGAAAAGUCAGAAAAUACAAUGUCAAUUUUAUUUUUAAACUGUGUUAUAUACACUUUUUUUAGAGUAAAAGGAAGCACAUUACUCUUUACUUUUAUACUUUUCACUUUAUUUUUAAACAAUGAUCAUCUCUUACUUUUGUCAUCAAAAAGAAAACUUUUUUAUUUUGAAAAAACAAACAAGCCCAGCCCAGUGCAGCCAAUCCCAUGAUCUUUUCAGUUGCUAUCUUAACUCAGAAGGCUAUACUAUUGUCCCCCUGGAUGCUUGUUUUUUUCUUGCUCCUCCAGGUACUGGACUCAUUGCAGGUGAAUACCUGCCAAAGUGAGAGAAUGGCAGCAUCUCUCUUCAAACAGGAAACCACUUAAACUGGCCUAGUCAGCCACAGGCUGAUACUGGUAUCAAUCUCUAUGACCCAUGCAGGCAACAGAUGUCUUUAAAAGUUAUAAUGCCCAUCUUAUAUAAUUGGAAGUUUCUCCUCUAAAUCUUUCUUCUUUCUAUGAAAUACAAUCUUUUAAAACCCUUCUCCAAAGCAGCUCUUCCUUUUAAUUUAAGAUAUUGCAUCACAAAUACUAGGUCCAAGGAUUGACCUUUUCCUUAAACUGUUUCCUUAUGCCAUAUCUGGCGUUUGGGGUUGCCUGAAGUCAUUCUGCCCACUGUCUCUGGCCCAAUCAUCCUAUUAAAAAGAAAAAAAAAAGCCAACCUGAGCUAUUUGGUACUACUUGAGCUAUUUCCUCUAUCCUCAACUCCUUUAACACCCUGUCACUGAACCAGAGUUCUUCAAUGUUGCAAAUGUUUUUCUGGGUUGUUUCUUUACGUGGGUCAACAGAAAUUUCCAUAAAGGCAGAUCUACCUGAGAAGAGUGGCUGGCAGUAACUCUCACGGGUAGGAAUAGAAAUAGUGCAGCACAACAACUUAUCUUCAAUCUACCUUUAAAAAUUACAGGUUUAUGAAGCAAGUCUCAGUGCUUCCUUCACUGAAGUAAUGGAUCUUAUGAUUUCUGUCAUUUUUCUCCUCCCCCUCACUCCAUUUUUAAUUGCAAUAAGGAGUUCACGCCUAUCUUCACUCACAAACAUCAGACCUCUCAGGUUUGCUUCCUUCAAUCAUAUAGGCUUCUAGGUCCAAUACCCACUAAAACGUCAAGCAUUUGUUACUCCAAUAUUUCAUAGCUUCCUUCCCUUGCUCUCUGCCCUCCAUUCUUCUCAUAUCCAGAGAAACACGGUGUUACUCCUAGCACCCACCGAAGCUUCAUUCACAAUAAGGCUCCUCCCAGUUAGAGCCUGUAAUAGACUGAUGGCCUGGAGGAAAGAAAAAGAAAACACACCUGCUGAAACCCAUGGGGGGCGGUGCAGGAAAUGAAAAGUGGCUAGAGAGAGCAAGGAGUACACUAGAAGGAUUCUGAAAAAAGAAGAGGCUAGACAUAGGACAAGGCACCAGAAGGUGUGACUGGGCUGUCUUGAGGAAUCAUGGGAAUGUAUUUGAAAGGUACUAACUUUUCACUUCCCUCGUGCCCUCUCUUGCCCAUCUCCAAGAGACAAAGAGUAACCAGGACUCCUGACACUGUUUACUAUUUAACCAUAAGAUUUGUGUCCUUAUAUACCAUAUUC
Molecule: long non-coding RNA, 4519 nt
Filed under: Sus scrofa (pig)
Lineage: Eukaryota; Metazoa; Chordata; Mammalia; Artiodactyla; Suidae
Description: lncRNA (ENSSSCG00025064171.1)
Source: RNAcentral